This 33-nucleotide small RNA is filed under the name Bombyx mori (domestic silkworm). Its description in RNAcentral is "ovarian small RNA-38119". The record is from RNAcentral. Lineage: Eukaryota; Metazoa; Arthropoda; Insecta; Lepidoptera; Bombycidae.
UUGUCGCGCCCGCUGUGCAUCCGGUGCACACUU